AGAGUUUGAUCAUGGCUCAGAUUGAACGCUGGCGGCAGGCCUAACACAUGCAAGUCGGACGGUAGCACAGAGGAGCUUGCUCCUCGGGUGACGAGUGGCGGACGGGUGAGUAAUGUCUGGGGAUCUGCCCGAUAGAGGGGGAUAACCACUGGAAACGGUGGCUAAUACCGCAUAACGUCGCAAGACCAAAGAGGGGGACCUUCGGGCCUCUCACUAUCGGAUGAACCCAGAUGGGAUUAGCUAGUAGGCGGGGUAACGGCCCACCUAGGCGACGAUCCCUAGCUGGUCUGAGAGGAUGACCAGCCACACUGGAGCUGAGACACGGUCCAGACUCCUACGGGAGGCAGCAGUGGGGAAUAUUGCACAAUGGGCGCAAGCCUGAUGCAGCCAUGCCGCGUGUAUGAAGAAGGCCUUCGGGUUGUAAAGUACUUUCAGCGGGGAGGAAGGCAGUGAGGUUAAUAACCUUACUGAUUGACGUUACCCGCAGAAGAAGCACCGGCUAACUCCGUGCCAGCAGCCGCGGUAAUAC
This 529-nucleotide ribosomal RNA is filed under the name uncultured bacterium. RNAcentral describes it as "bacterial SSU rRNA". It matches the Rfam family "Bacterial small subunit ribosomal RNA", at positions 8 to 526 of the family's 1533-position model. The record is from RNAcentral.